This 253-nucleotide ribosomal RNA is filed under the name uncultured bacterium. RNAcentral describes it as "partial 16S ribosomal RNA". It matches the Rfam family "Bacterial small subunit ribosomal RNA", at positions 524 to 776 of the family's 1533-position model. The record is from RNAcentral.
UACGUAGGGGGCAAGCGUUGUCCGGAAUUAUUGGGCGUAAAGAGCGCGUAGGCGGUCCGGUAAGUCGGUUGUGAAAGUCGGGGGCUCAACCCUCGGAUGCCGAUCGAUACUGUCGGGCUAGAGUCCGGAAGAGGCGAGUGGAAUUCCUGGUGUAGCGGUGAAAUGCGCGGAUAUCAGGAGGAACACCAAUGGCGAAGGCAGCUCGCUGGGACGGUACUGACGCUGAGGCGCGAAAGCGUGGGGAGCAAACAGG